GUGAGGAAUAUUGGUCAAUGGGCGCAAGCCUGAACCAGCCAUCCCGCGUGAAGGAUGAAUGUACUAUGUAUUGUAAACUUCUUUUCUGCACCAAGAACGUGCCCUACGUGUAGGGUAUUGACGGUAGUGCAGGAAUAAGCAUCGGCUAACUCCGUGCCAGCAGCCGCGGUAAUACGGAGGAUGCGAGCGUUAUCCGGAUUCAUUGGGUUUAAAGGGUGCGUAGGCGGUUUUUUAAGUCAGUGGUGAAAUCCUGCGGCUCAACCGUAGAACUGCCAUUGAUACUGAAGAACUUGAAUAUAGUUGAGGUAGGCGGAAUGAGUAGUGUAGCGGUGAAAUGCUUAGAUAUUACUCAGAACACCGAUUGCGAAGGCAGCUUACCAAGCUAUUAUUGACGCUGAGGCACGAAAGCGUGGGGAUCGAACAGGAUUAGAUACCCUGGUAGUCC
Molecule: ribosomal RNA, 445 nt
Filed under: uncultured bacterium
Lineage: Bacteria
Description: partial 16S ribosomal RNA
Rfam family: Bacterial small subunit ribosomal RNA
Source: RNAcentral